ACUGGGACUGAGACACGGCCCAGACUCCUACGGGAGGCAGCAGUGGGGAAUAUUGCACAAUGGGCGAAAGCCUGAUGCAGCGACGCCGCGUGAGGGAUGACGGCCUUCGGGUUGUAAACCUCUUUCAGCAGGGAAGAAGCGAAAGUGACGGUACCUGCAGAAGAAGCACCGGCUAACUACGUGCCAGCAGCCGCGGUAAUACGUAGGGUGCGAGCGUUGUCCGGAAUUAUUGGGCGUAAAGAGCUUGUAGGCGGUUUGUCGCGUCUGCAGUGAAAAUCCGGGGCUCAACCCCGGACUUGCUGUGGGUACGGGCAGACUAGAGUGUGGUAGGGGAGACCGGAAUUCCUGGUGUAGCGGUGGAAUGCGCAGGUAUCAGGAGGAACACCGAUGGCGAAGGCAGGUCUCUGGGCCACAACUGACGCUGAGAAGCGAAAGCAUGGGGAGCGAACAGGAUUAGAUACCCUGGUAGUCCAUGCCGUAAACGUUGGGCGCUAGGUGUGGGGCUCAUUCCACGAGCUCCGUGCCGCAGCUAACGCAUUAAGCGCCCCGCCUGGGGAGUACGGCCGCAAGGCUAAAACUCAAAGGAAUUGACGGGGGCCCGCACAAGCGGCGGAGCAUGCGGAUUAAUUCGAUGCAACGCGAAGAACCUUACCAAGGCUUGACAUAUACCGGAAACACUCAGAGAUGGGUGCCCCGCAAGGUCGGUAUACAGGUGGUGCAUGGUUGUCGUCAGCUCGUGUCGUGAGAUGUUGGGUUAAGUCCCGCAACGAGCGCAACCCUCGUUCUAUGUUGCCAGCGCGUUAUGGCGGGGACUCAUAGGAGACUGCCGGGGUCAACUCGGAGGAAGGUGGGGAUGACGUCAAAUCAUCAUGCCCCUUAUGUCUUGGGCUUCACGCAUGCUACAAUGGCCGGUACAAAGGGCUGCGAUACCGCGAGGUGGAGCGAAUCCCAAAAAACCGGUCUCAGUUCGGAUUGGGGUCUGCAACUCGACCCCAUGAAGUCGGAGUCGCUAGUAAUCGCAGAUCAGCAACGCUGCGGUGAAUACGUUCCCGGGCCUUGUACACACCGCCCGUCAAGUCACGAAAGUCGGUAACACCCGAAGCCGGUGGCCCAACCCUCGUGGAGGGAGCCGUCGAAGGUGGGACUGGCGAUUGGGACUAAGUCGUAACAAGGUAGCCGUACCGGAGGUGCGGCUG
This 1196-nucleotide ribosomal RNA is filed under the name metagenome. RNAcentral describes it as "bacterial SSU rRNA". It matches the Rfam family "Bacterial small subunit ribosomal RNA", at positions 312 to 1520 of the family's 1533-position model. The record is from RNAcentral.